GCUGGGCAUGGUGGCGUGUGCCUGUAAUCCCAGCUACUGGGGAGGCUGAAGCAGGAGAAUGGCUUGAACCCAGGAGGCUUAGGUUGCAGGGAGCCGAGAUUGUGCCACUGCACUCCAGCCUGGGCGAUAAAGUGAGACUCUGUCUCAA
Gorilla gorilla gorilla (western lowland gorilla) is the source of this 148-nucleotide non-coding RNA. It matches the Rfam family "Metazoan signal recognition particle RNA". Rfam says of the family: The signal recognition particle (SRP) is a universally conserved ribonucleoprotein. It is involved in the co-translational targeting of proteins to membranes. Lineage: Eukaryota; Metazoa; Chordata; Mammalia; Primates; Hominidae. The record is from Rfam.